CCAAUGGGGGCGGGCCUACACAUGCAAGUCGAACGGUAACAGGAAGCAGCUUGCUGCUUCGCUGACGAGUGGCGGACGGGUGAGUAAUGUCUGGGAAACUGCCUGAUGGAGGGGGAUAACUACUGGAAACGGUAGCUAAUACCGCAUAACGUCGCAAGACCAAAGAGGGGGACCUUCGGGCCUCUUGCCAUCGGAUGUGCCCAGAUGGGAUUAGCUAGUAGGUGGGGUAACGGCUCACCUAGGCGACGAUCCCUAGCUGGUCUGAGAGGAUGACCAGCCACACUGGAACUGAGACACGGUCCAGACUCUACGGGAGGCAGCAGUGGGGGAAUAUUGCACAAUGGGCGCAAGCCUGAUGCAGCCAUGCCGCGUGUAUGAAGAAGGCYUUCGGGUUGUAAAGUACUUUCAGCGGGGAAGGAAAGGGAGUAAAGUUAAUACCUUUGCUCAUUGACGUUACCCGCAGAAGAAGCACCGGCUAACUCCGUGCCAGCAGCCGCGGUAAUACGGAGGGUGCAAGCGUUAAUCGGAAUUACUGGGCGUAAAGCGCACGCAGGCGGUUUGUUAAGUCAGAUGUGAAAUCCCCGGGCUCAACCUGGGAACUGCAUCUGAUACUGGCAAGCUUGAGUCUCGUAGAGGGGGGUAGAAUUCCAGGUGUAGCGGUGAAAUGCGUAGAGAUCUGGAGGAAUACCGGUGGCGAAGGCGGCCCCCUGGACGAAGACUGACGCUCAGGUGCGAAAGCGUGGGGAGCAAACAGGAUUAGAUACCCUGGUAGUCCACGCCGUAAACGAUGUCGACUUGGAGGUUGUGCCCUUGAGGCGUGGCUUCCGGAGCUAACGCGUUAAGUCGACCGCCUGGGGAGUACGGCCGCAAGGUUAAAACUCAAAUGAAUUGACGGGGGCCCGCACAAGCGGUGGAGCAUGUGGUUUAAUUCGAUGCAACGCGAAGAACCUUACCUGGUCUUGACAUCCACGGAAGUUUUUCAGAGAUGAGAAAUGGUGCCUUCGGGAACYGUGAGACAGGUGCUGCAUGGGCUGUCGUCAGCUCGUGUUGUGAAAUGUUGGGUUAAGUCCCGCAACGAGCGCAACCCUUAUCCUUUGUUGCGAGCGGUCCGGCCGGGAACUCAAAGGAGACUGCCAGUGAUAAACUGGAGGAAGGUGGGGAUGACGUCAAGUCAUCAUGGUCCCUUACGAGCAGGGCUACACACGUGCUACAAUGGCGCAUACAAAGAGAAGCGACCUCGCGAGAGCAAGCGGACCUCAUAAAGUGCGUCGUAGUCCGGAUUGGAGUCUGCAACUCGACUCCAUGAAGUCGGAAUCGCUAGUAAUCGUGGAUCAGAAUGCCACGGUGAAUACGUUCCCGGGCCUUGUACACACCGCCCGUCACACCAUGGGAGUGGGUUGCAAAAGAAGUAGGUAGCUUAACCUUCGGGAGGGCGCUACCACUUUGAUGAU
This 1451-nucleotide ribosomal RNA is filed under the name Escherichia coli. RNAcentral describes it as "bacterial SSU rRNA". It matches the Rfam family "Bacterial small subunit ribosomal RNA". Lineage: Bacteria; Pseudomonadati; Pseudomonadota; Gammaproteobacteria; Enterobacterales; Enterobacteriaceae. The record is from RNAcentral.